UUGUACAUGGUAGGCUUUC
This 19-nucleotide microRNA is filed under the name Mus musculus (house mouse). RNAcentral's name for it is "mmu-miR-493-5p". Its record names the gene mmu-miR-493-5p. The record is from miRBase by way of RNAcentral. Lineage: Eukaryota; Metazoa; Chordata; Mammalia; Rodentia; Muridae.